This 237-nucleotide unclassified non-coding RNA is filed under the name plant metagenome. RNAcentral's name for it is "partial contains small subunit ribosomal RNA, internal transcribed spacer 1, and 5.8S ribosomal RNA". The record is from RNAcentral.
UCUCCGUUGGUGAACCAGCGGAGGGAUCAUUACCGAGUUUACAACUCCCAAACCCCAUGUGAACCUUACCAAACGUUGCUUCGGCGGGAUGCCCCGGGCGCGGGCCGCAAGGCCUCAGCCCCGGGACCAGGCGCCCGCCGGAGGCCCAAACCAAACUCUUGUUUUUGUAGAAUCUUCUGAGUGGCCUUUUAGGCAAAAAAUGAAUCAAAACUUUCAACAACGGAUCUCUUGGUUCUG